GGGGGCGUAACGGCUUCGACGGGAUGGAUUUGGUGUGAUGAGGCGUGUCGGGCUCCAGGCUCCCGUAAAACGACUGGAACAACAAAACUGCCAAUAAUCAGCAGUUCGCAUACGCUGCCUAAUUAAAUAGGUAGCCGCUGCCGGUCGAGUGCCUGCGCUUGAUCGAUACAGCGUCUUCUCACAGGAUCGGUCCAAAGUCUCCGCCUGGGGCAGAGGAUUUAAAACCAAUCAGGCUGGACUCCACCGCUUCUUGCCGUUUCCGAGGGUGGGGUUGAGAUUGUGAAGCGGAUACACACGUAGUCUUGUCAUGGCAGGCCAUUUCGGACGCGGGUUCAACUCCCGCCGCCUCCACCA
This 354-nucleotide transfer-messenger RNA is filed under the name Bryobacteraceae bacterium. It matches the Rfam family "transfer-messenger RNA". Rfam says of the family: Bacterial tmRNA, also known as 10Sa RNA or SsrA, is named for its dual tRNA and mRNA-like properties. Its role is to liberate the mRNA from a stalled ribosome. The record is from RNAcentral. Lineage: Bacteria; Pseudomonadati; Acidobacteriota; Terriglobia; Bryobacterales; Bryobacteraceae.